This 915-nucleotide ribosomal RNA is filed under the name Clostridioides difficile. RNAcentral describes it as "bacterial LSU rRNA". It matches the Rfam family "Bacterial large subunit ribosomal RNA", at positions 768 to 1689 of the family's 2925-position model. The record is from RNAcentral. Lineage: Bacteria; Bacillati; Bacillota; Clostridia; Peptostreptococcales; Peptostreptococcaceae.
GGAGGUCCGAACCCACGAGCGUUGAAAAGCUCGGGGAUGACUUGUGGGUAGCGGUGAAAUUCCAAUCGAGCCCGGAGAUAGCUGGUUCUCCCCGAAAUAGCUUUAGGGCUAGCCUCAAGGUGAGAGAUACGGAGGUAGAGCACUGAAUGUCCUAGGGGGUAUUGCACCUACCGAAGACUAUCAAACUCCGAAUGCCGUCAUCUUAUACUUGGGAGUCAGACUGUGGGUGAUAAGAUUCAUAGUCGAAAGGGCAACAGCCCAGAUCGUCAGCUAAGGUCCCUAAAUGUAAGUUAAGUGGUAAAGGAUGUGGGAUUGCACAGACAACCAGGAUGUUGGCUUAGAAGCAGCCACUCAUUCAAAGAGUGCGUAAUAGCUCACUGGUCGAGUGAUCCUGCGCCGAAGAUUUCCGGGGCUAAAACUUACUACCGAAGCUACGGCAUCAGUAAUGAUGGGUAGGGGAGCUUCCCAUACGGGUUGAAGCAUGACCGUAAGGACAUGUGGACAGUAUGGGAGUGAGAAUGUUGGCAUGAGUAGCGAGAUGUGGGUGAGAAUCCCACAGGCCGUAAACCCAAGGUUUCCAGGGGAAGGUUCGUCCGCCCUGGGUUAGUCGGGACCGAAGCUGAGGCCGAAAGGCGUAGGUGAUGGACAACAGGUUGAUAUUCCUGUACUACCGAUAACCGUUUGAGAGAAGGGAUGACACAGUAGGAUAAGCUAAGCACACUGUUGGUUAUGUGUGCCCAAGCAUUGAGGCAGUCAAAGUAGGCAAAUCCGCUUUGAUAAUGCUGGGAUGUGAUGGGGAGCGAAAUUUAGUAGCGAAGUAGCUGAUUUCACACUGUCAAGAAAAGUCUCUAUCGAGGUUAAAGGUACCCGUACCGCAAACCGACACAGGUGGGUGAGGAGAGUAUCCUAAGGCCA